Long non-coding RNA from Manduca sexta (tobacco hornworm), 448 nucleotides. RefSeq lists it as uncharacterized. The record is from RefSeq and is a predicted model, not a curated record. NCBI's taxonomy places the organism in Eukaryota, Metazoa, Arthropoda, Insecta, Lepidoptera, Sphingidae. The transcript has 2 exons.
UUUUUUUUGAGGGUAGCUGAUACACGAGUCAGUGGGAUUCUGUAUUUAAACCUUUUAAAAAAUCAGGAAAUCUCUAUAUUACUAUAAUUCCUAUUGAAUUGUGUUCUGUAUAUUCUUAGUGGUGUCGAUCACUAACAUUUGGGGAAAACAUCAAUUCAAUACGUUUCCAUAUAUAUUAUAAUUCUCUUUGUUCAAUACGCUACGAGGGGAAAAAAAGAGAGUCAACUGUCACUCAAGAACUGUCUUAACGUAGUGGUUAUAUUCUCUAUGGAACUGUCAAAUCCCCUUCGUUUAUCUUCUCCCAUUAACAAAAGUCUUCAUCAUAAAGACAUUCAACUUUAAUACCCAGAUUAAUACCUCAGUAAUCUGCAGUCUGAAACAACGUGACAUUGGCGGAAUAGCUUCAUAAUCAAGCUCGUCGCCAGUAAUCAAAGAAGAAGAAGAAGAA